AGAUUAAGUUAUUAAGGGCGCACGGUGGAUGCCUUGGCACUAGAAGCCGAUGAAGGACGUUACUAACGACGAUAUGCUUUGGGGAGCUGUAAGUAAGCUUUGAUCCAGAGAUUUCCGAAUGGGGAAACCCAGCAUGAGUUAUGUCAUGUUAUCGAUAUGUGAAUACAUAGCAUAUCAGAAGGCACACCCGGAGAACUGAAACAUCUUAGUACCCGGAGGAAGAGAAAGAAAAUUCGAUCCCCUUAGUAGCGGCGAGCGAAACGGGAAGAGCCCAAACCAACAAGCUUGCUUGUUGGGGUUGUAGGACACUCUAUACGGAGUUACAAAGGACGACAUUAGACGAAUCAUCUGGAAAGAUGAAUCAAAGAAGGUAAUAAUCCUGUAGUCGAAAAUGUUGUCUCUCUUGAGUGGAUCCUGAGUACGACGGAGCACGUGAAAUUCCGUCGGAAUCUGGGAGGACCAUCUCCUAAGGCUAAAUACUCUCUAGUGACCGAUAGUGAACCAGUACCGUGAGGGAAAGGUGAAAAGCACCCCGGAAGGGGAGUGAAAUAGAACCUGAAACCGUGUGCUUACAAGUAGUCAGAGCCCGUUAAUGGGUGAUGGCGUGCCUUUUGUAGAAUGAACCGGCGAGUUACGAUUUGAUGCAAGGUUAAGCAGUAAAUGUGGAGCCGUAGCGAAAGCGAGUCUGAAUAGGGCGUUUAGUAUUUGGUCGUAGACCCGAAACCAGGUGAUCUACCCUUGGUCAGGUUGAAGUUCAGGUAACACUGAAUGGAGGACCGAACCGACUUACGUUGAAAAGUGAGCGGAUGAACU
This 813-nucleotide ribosomal RNA is filed under the name Staphylococcus aureus. Its description in RNAcentral is "partial 23S ribosomal RNA". It matches the Rfam family "Bacterial large subunit ribosomal RNA", at positions 1 to 810 of the family's 2925-position model. Lineage: Bacteria; Bacillati; Bacillota; Bacilli; Caryophanales; Staphylococcaceae. The record is from RNAcentral.